CCUACGGGGAGCAGCAGUGAGGAAUAUUGGUCAAUGGGCGGAAGCCUGAACCAGCCAAGUAGCGUGCAGGAUGACGGCCCUACGGGUUGUAAACUGCUUUUAUACGGGAAUAACGCGCCUUACGUGUAGGGCUUUGCAUGUACCGUAUGAAUAAGGACCGGCUAAUUCCGUGCCAGCAGCCGCGGUAAUACGGAAGGUCCGGGGGUUAUCCGGAUGUAUUGGGUUUAAGGGGAGCGUAGGCCGCAUGUGAAGAGUGCUGUGAAAGGUCCGGGCUCAACCCGGGCCUUGAAGCGCGAACUGGCGUGCUUGAGUCCGCGGAAGGCAGGCGGAAUUCGUCGUGUAGCGGUGAAAUGCUUAGAUAUGACGAAGAACCCCGAUUGCGAAGGCAGCUUGCUGCAGCGGAACUGACGCUGAUGCUCGAAAGCGCGGGUAUCGAACAGGAUUAGAUACCCUAGUAGUC
Molecule: ribosomal RNA, 460 nt
Filed under: uncultured bacterium
Lineage: Bacteria
Description: partial 16S ribosomal RNA
Rfam family: Bacterial small subunit ribosomal RNA
Source: RNAcentral